This 380-nucleotide ribosomal RNA is filed under the name uncultured eukaryote. RNAcentral describes it as "partial 18S ribosomal RNA". It matches the Rfam family "Eukaryotic small subunit ribosomal RNA", at positions 592 to 976 of the family's 1831-position model. The record is from RNAcentral.
CAAUAGCGUAUAUUAAAGUUGUUGCGGUUAAAAAGCUCGUAGUUGGAUUUCUGCUGAGAACGACCGGUCCGCCCUUUGGGUGUGUAUCUGGCUCUUUCUUGGCAUCUUCUUGGUGAACGUUGCUGCACUUGACUGUGUGGAGCGCUACCCAGGACUUUUACUUUGAGGAAAUUAGAGUGUUUCAAGCAGGCAUACGCCUUGAAUACAUUAGCAUGGAAUAAUAAGAUAGGACCUCGGUUCUAUUUUGUUGGUUUCUAGAGCUGAGGUAAUGAUUAAUAGGGAUAGUUGGGGGCAUUCGUAUUUAACUGUCAGAGGUGAAAUUCUUGGAUUUGUUAAAGACGGACUUCUGCGAAAGCAUUUGCCAAGGAUGUUUUCAUUAA